Non-coding RNA from Tetranychus urticae (two-spotted spider mite), 2429 nucleotides. NCBI's taxonomy places the organism in Eukaryota, Metazoa, Arthropoda, Arachnida, Trombidiformes, Tetranychidae. The record is from RefSeq and is a predicted model, not a curated record.
GCUAAAGAUGAUCUGACUCAAAUGUUAGAUUGAGAGAUAAACCAAUGGGUCGACAAGAUGUCUGCUUUCCAAGUCAAGCUGUUAUAUGUAACUAAUGUUGAAUAUGGUGACUGUGAAAUUUUAAACAAAAAUGGAUUCCGUUGUUUAAUUCUGCUCUCUUUUGCCAUCUUUUAUUUUCAUCAUUCUAGUCUCAUCUUCUUCUUCUUCAUCACCAUGAUCAUCUUAUUCUUGGCAGCAAACACAGACUUUGUUUGUUGAAGUGUAUUAAAUGUUUACAGUUAGAGAGGUUAAAAAUAAAACUUGAAACAACGAUGAAAAGUAAAAGUCCUCAUCACCCAAGUUGUAAACUCUAAUUUAAGCUGUCAGCUUACCAAUCAAUCCUCGUUCAGCUUGACUUUCAAUUUUGGGUAAAAGUGUUUUUAAUUACAUCAUUUAUUUCCACUGGUUAUUUAUAGGCUUCAAACAUGGUGAAAUGAAAAUUAACUGGUCUGUUGGCAAAAACUUGGAUAAUCCGUUUGAUUUUCAUGCUUCCUACUCGAUGUCAGUUUUAAUUAAUGAAUCAAACCCAUUCCAAAGUCACUCAAUUGACUAACUCAUAUGAAGAUUUGGAUACAAAGACUUUAUUAUUUCCAGCACCAUCAUGUUCUGUCUGUCAUGUUUAACCAGAGAAGCAACAGAUUAUUGGAAAUGGCAUCGGAUACCUGCGAAAUUUUAUUAUGUUGUUUAUAUUGCUGCCUAACAUCUUUAACAUUCUCGCAUUGGACAUCCUUUGGUUGGAGAUUAAGACGGUUAAAUAAUGUUGGAGUAAUUAACUGUGGAAAGUGAAUCAAGGCUAGAAACUGUGGAAAAAAUGAGGUGAUCAUUGAAUCAGAAACAAGAAUUUGGCUCAAUUAAGCGAUUAAUUAAGCGAUGCUUUGCAAUUAUUUCAAUUGAUUCUCUCCAUUUCAAUUAGCAUUAUCUAAGAAGACCAGAUUUCGCUUCAAGCUAUUGCCUAAAUAUGAUAAGAUUAUUACAUUGAAUGAAUAUUCAUCCUUGAUUAUUUAUUUUCUUCUUGUGGUCCUUUCCUUUUACAUUGAAACCAACGUACAGACGAAAUAAGUUUCGCCUAAUACAAUUUAGUUUCAUUAUUGUUAGAAGGUAAAUGAUUCUGUGAUAUAAUCUGAAAACAAGAUAACCUUAAUCAUGGCCUCCAAAAUAAAUUUUGAUUAACUCUCCUUUUCUCACUGAAAAAAUCAUCUUAAAGCAAAAAUUUCACCAGUUCCUUAUUCAUUGAUCCACUUUCACUGUUGGUUCUUUCAACUCAGCAAUCAGUUACCAUAACUUCUUGAUCAACCAAAGAUUUUUAUUGUAAACUUUCCCUGCAAUUUAAAAUCAAAAAAGUGCUAAACCCUUGCCGUUUGUGACCUGCUUGAUCAAAAUCAAUAAUGAAUAUAUUUUGUGAUACAUUUUGGAAUAUUUUAUCAAUUCUAUGUUUCUUUAUUCGAUUCAAGAUCAACUACUAAAUCAAUAAUUGUGAUUGUCAGCUCUAAAUAAAUUCAUUCAACAAGAAAAAGGCCGUUGAUUGUGAAAAACCAAAGCAAGAAAAGUAAAAAUGAUUCAUUUUGGUAUGAUCAUUGACUUUUUUCAACGCAACAUGAUUCUCAUCUUUCUCGAUUUCCUAUUAACCUUCAUUUACAUUGGCCUGUUCAAAAUUGUCAACAAUUCAAAUGUUCGCCUGACAUCUAAUAAUUCGUGAAAUAAGACGGAAAAUCAGUAUCGAAAUGGUCGACAAAAGUAAGCCCGAUUUACAAAGAAAAUCAAGUCACCGCCAGUACAUAUUCAAAUCAUUGACCCAUUUUGUACAAUUUAAUGUUAAUAUUAAUUUUUGAUUAUCCUUUUUACAGAUUCACUGACAGCUGAAUUUGAUAAAAAUCUGUAAUAAAAUAUUUAGUAUCCAUUGUAUCCUCUCAUGCUUAAAACCACAUCUUUCAAUAAUGUUCACAAAUUUAUGGAUUUCCAAAUGAAUAACCAUGUCUGCUGUUUGCUCAUCUCAUGGCUUGAUUCAGCUUAAUACAGAGAUCCUUUUGUUACCAGUCUUUUGACCUUUCGAUCACCUUGUCUCAAGCCAGUUGAAGGUUAAUUAUCGUUCUCUAAGGCAAUUUAAGGGAUAAAGGAAUGGCAAAUUGCUUCCAUUUAUCGUGGUAUAAGGAAGUGAAUAUUUUGGAAAGUUGGUCAUGGUUAUAGAGACGCGCAACAAUCAGGAAGGAUGGAUGUAAUACCGGUUGUCUAUCAGAAUUUGAUCAUUGAAAAAUGAAUGGGAAUAUCCAUAUUGGAAGACUGUUGACACACCCAGGACUGUAAGGACACUUGUAAAAAUGUAACGAAAUGGAUAAUCUACAUGCAAAUUCUCAUUCUAAUCUUAAUAAAGAAGCUUUAGCCUUCUAUUUGAA